GCCUCCGUAGCUCAGGGGAUAGAGCAUUGGUUUCCGGUACCAAAGGUCGCACGUUCGAUUCGUGUCGGGGGCA
Molecule: transfer RNA, 73 nt
Filed under: Lawsonella clevelandensis
Lineage: Bacteria; Bacillati; Actinomycetota; Actinomycetes; Mycobacteriales; Lawsonellaceae
Also listed under: 6 other names
Rfam family: tRNA
About the family: Transfer RNA (tRNA) molecules are approximately 80 nucleotides in length.
Source: Rfam by way of RNAcentral